GCCCUUUAGUUUACUAUAGGUGUCCUAGUGGCAGACGGGUGAGUAACGCGUGAGUAAUGUGCCUCUUUUCUGGGGAUACCGUUUAGAAAUGAACGUUAAUACCGAAUGUGGUGAGACUGCGGCAUCGUAGUCUCAUUAAACUGUUAGGGAGAAGAGAGCAACUCGCGUACUAUCAGCUAGAUGGUGGGGUAACGGCCUACCAUGGCGACGACGGUUAACUGGUCUGAGAGGAUGAUC
This 237-nucleotide ribosomal RNA is filed under the name uncultured bacterium. RNAcentral describes it as "partial 16S ribosomal RNA". It matches the Rfam family "Bacterial small subunit ribosomal RNA", at positions 70 to 305 of the family's 1533-position model. The record is from RNAcentral.